Molecule: ribosomal RNA, 447 nt
Filed under: uncultured organism
Description: partial 16S ribosomal RNA
Rfam family: Bacterial small subunit ribosomal RNA
Source: RNAcentral
UACACUCCUGCGGGAGGCAGCAGUGGGGAAUAUUGGACAAUGGGCGCAAGCCUGAUCCAGCCAUGCCGCGUGAGUGAUGAAGGCCCUAGGGUUGUAAAGCUCUUUCACCGGUGAAGAUAAUGACGGUAACCGGAGAAGAAGCCCCGGCUAACUUCGUGCCAGCAGCCGCGGUAAUACGAAGGGGGCUAGCGUUGUUCGGAUUUACUGGGCGUAAAGCGCACGUAGGCGGACUAUUAAGUCAGGGGUGAAAUCCCGGGGCUCAACCCCGGAACUGCCUUUGAUACUGGUAGUCUUGAGUUCGAGAGAGGUGAGUGGAAUUCCGAGUGUAGAGGUGAAAUUCGUAGAUAUUCGGAGGAACACCAGUGGCGAAGGCGGCUCACUGGCUCGAUACUGACGCUGAGGUGCGAAAGCGUGGGGAGCAAACAGGAUUAGAUACCCCGGUAGUCC